ACACUUCAUCAAAGAAGAUGGAUGGCAAAUAAACACAUAAAAAGAUGCUUUAAAUAUUAAUAAUUAGGGAAAUGCAAAUGAAAACCACAUCGAAAUAUCUCUAUAUGCCUUUUAAAAUGGCAAACAAACAAAGCAGCAACAAAAAGCAGCAGCUGACAAUUCUGAGAGCCGGCAAGGAACAGAGCAACUGGAAUUCUCAGGAGGGUUGCCUUUCCCCUUUUGUGUGGCCUCCAGUCUGAAACAACAAUCUGUCGUUUGCACUGUGUCCCCGAGUCGUUCUGAAGAAGAAGGUCUGAGUCAGAGCUCUGCUACUUACUGCUGUGGGACCUUGGACGAAACAUCUUCAAUUUCUUCAGUGAUCAGCCGUGUCUCAAAUGGUACAGCUUCCAGAUCAAUCCCGUUUUGACUUCUACUUCUCGGGUAGGCUGCAGUUUAUCACUGUUGACAUUUUGGGACCAUGACAAAGCAGUUAAAGAAGAUGUUUUUGAUCAGUCUAGCCGUGUGUGUGUGUGUGUGUGUGUGUGUGUGUGUGCAUUUGUGUCCUAAAUCAUACAGUACUGGUGCCUGACAAAUUGACUCAGAGAUAUCGCUGACUUCAAAAGGAGGGUUCCUGACUUUCAUAGUGCUAAUAAUCUUCCCAGGUGGUCUUUGUGAAACGUUUGAUUCAUCGAACCCACUUCAAGUAUUUUGUGAUCACCUUCCACAUUCCUUAACCUUAAUUCCUUAAUUAAGGAAUUCCUUAAUUCCUUCCACAAGGCCCAGCUGGCUUUGUUUUGCUUGGAAAGUUCCUAAAGGGGAGUUUGGAUCUACGACCAUUGAGGGGCUAAGAGCCAAAAAGGUUGCUCCCAUUCAGCUUCCUUUUCAAACCUUGUUUCUUUUUUUCUGUUUCUAAAAUGCCAUGAGUGCGUCGAUCAGCUUUGGCCGCAGUAACCAACGACAUCAAAUUUCAACGUUACAACAACGACAUUUGUCUCUUGCUAUGACUCUACCCCAGGCUGUGGAUUGGCUUCAAGGUUUCUCCUCACUGUGGACUGUGAGUCUCCACAUGUCUUCUCAGACAUGAGAUUCAGGCUAAAGGAGCAACGCCUACCUGCCGCACGCUGUUCUCUUGUGGCAUAAACCAAGAACAAGGGACUGGCGGGAAUGUAGGAGGCCUCUUCUGCUUCUGGUUGGAACUGGAAUUCCAUGGAUUUUCUUCUGGUUAAGGUGAGGCAAAUGACCACGCUCAAAGUCAGUGGGGUGGGAUGUAUAUUCCUUUCAUUGGAGACAGCGAAGUUACAUGGCAAGGGGUGAGGUUGCAUAACUUUUCUUAUAAAAGAGAAUAUGAAGCGCUGUGACAAUAAUAUAACUUCUUUCACUAUGUGCUGCUAUGUACCAGGCAAAGUAAUUCUAUUGCAAUUUUUUUGAGGCUGGUUUUUCUGCAAUGGGCAGAAGUCUGUGCAUCUGAUAUGUAAACUUAGAGACUCUGAUGUGCUCAUUCCUGUACUUCCACAAUAAAUUCUGUAAAAGUGUGAA
Canis lupus familiaris (dog) is the source of this 1515-nucleotide long non-coding RNA. RefSeq lists it as uncharacterized. The transcript is spliced from 3 exons. Lineage: Eukaryota; Metazoa; Chordata; Mammalia; Carnivora; Canidae. The record is from RefSeq and is a predicted model, not a curated record.